This 492-nucleotide ribosomal RNA is filed under the name uncultured bacterium. RNAcentral describes it as "partial 16S ribosomal RNA". It matches the Rfam family "Bacterial small subunit ribosomal RNA", at positions 29 to 507 of the family's 1533-position model. The record is from RNAcentral.
AGUGAACGCUGGCGGUAGGCCUAACACAUGCAAGUCGAACGGCAGCACAGUAAGAGCUUGCUCUUACGGGUGGCGAGUGGCGGACAGGUGAGGAAUACAUCGGAAUCUACUUUUUCGUGGGGGAUAACGUAGGGAAACUUACGCUAAUACCGCAUACGACCUACGGGUGAAAGCAGGGGAUCUUCGGACCUUGCGCGAUUGAAUGAGCCGAUGUCGGAUUAGCUAGUUGGCGGGGUAAAGGCCCACCAAGGCGACGAUCCGUAGCUGGUCUGAGAGGAUGAUCAGCCACACUGGAACUGAGACACGGUCCAGACUCCUACGGGAGGCAGCAGUGGGGAAUAUUGGACAAUGGGCGCAAGCCUGAUCCAGCCAUACCGCGUGGGUGAAGAAGGCCUUCGGGUUGUAAAGCCCUUUUGUUGGGAAAGAAAAGCAGCAGGUUAAUACCCCGCUGUUCUGACGGUACCCAAAGAAUAAGCACCGGCCAACUUCGUG